RNAcentral lists this ribosomal RNA (381 nucleotides) under uncultured bacterium. Its description in RNAcentral is "partial 16S ribosomal RNA". It matches the Rfam family "Bacterial small subunit ribosomal RNA", at positions 150 to 525 of the family's 1533-position model. The record is from RNAcentral.
CGGGAAACUGGGGAUAAUACCGCAUGGUCUCGCAAGAGUAAAGGUGGCCUCUGAAUAUGCUAUCGCCAAUAGAGCGGCCCAUGUCCCAUUAGCUAGUUGGUAGGGUAAUGGCCUACCAAGGCAACGAUGGGUAGCUGGUCUGAGAGGAUGAUCAGCCACACUGGAACUGAGACACGGUCCAGACUCCUACGGGAGGCAGCAGUGGGGAAUAUUGCACAAUGGGGGAAACCCUGAUGCAGCAACGCCGCGUGAAUGAAGAAGGCUCUUGGGUCGUAAAGUUCUUUCGACAGGGAAGAAGGGUAGGUUGGCUAACAUCCAACUUACUGGACGGUACCUGCAGAAGAAGCACCGGCUAAUUCCGUGACAGCCGCCGCGGUAACA